This 657-nucleotide ribosomal RNA is filed under the name uncultured Peptostreptococcaceae bacterium. RNAcentral's name for it is "bacterial SSU rRNA". It matches the Rfam family "Bacterial small subunit ribosomal RNA", at positions 94 to 770 of the family's 1533-position model. Lineage: Bacteria; Bacillati; Bacillota; Clostridia; Peptostreptococcales; Peptostreptococcaceae. The record is from RNAcentral.
AGCGGCGGACGGGUGAGUAACGCGUGGGUAACCUGCCCUAUACACAUGGAUAACAUACUGAAAAGUUUACUAAUACAUGAUAAUAUAUAUUUGCGGCAUCGCAGAUAUAUCAAAGUGUUAGCGGUAUAGGAUGGACCCGCGUCUGAUUAGCUAGUUGGUGAGAUAACUGCCCACCAAGGCGACGAUCAGUAGCCGACCUGAGAGGGUGAUCGGCCACAUUGGAACUGAGACACGGUCCAAACUCCUACGGGAGGCAGCAGUGGGAAAUAUUGCACAAUGGGCGAAAGCCUGAUGCAGCAACGCCGCGUGAACGAUGAAGGUCUUCGGAUCGUAAAGUUCUGUUGCAGGGGAAGAUAAUGACGGUACCCUGUGAGGAAGCCCCGGCUAACUACGUGCCAGCGGCCGCGGUAAUACGUAGGGGGCUAGCGUUAUCCGGAUUUACUGGGCGUAAAGGGUGCGUAGGUGGUCCUUCAAGUCGGUGGUUAAAGGCUACGGCUCAACCGUAGUAAGCCGCCGAAACUGGAGGACUUGAGUGCAGGAGAGGAAAGUGGAAUUCCCAGUGUAGCGGUGAAAUGCGUAGAUAUUGGGAGGAACACCAGUAGCGAAGGCGGCUUUCUGGACUGCAACUGACACUGAGGCACGAAAGCGUGGGUAGCA